Molecule: long non-coding RNA, 2717 nt
Filed under: Sus scrofa (pig)
Lineage: Eukaryota; Metazoa; Chordata; Mammalia; Artiodactyla; Suidae
Description: lncRNA (ENSSSCG00030071572.1)
Source: RNAcentral
CUGGCAGAGCCCGCUGGCGCCAGAGACAAAGGCUGCUCGGCCGGGCGCCCGGGUCCUGCCCGGUCAGCACGCUCUGGUGUCCCCAGGCGAUUCCACGGUCGGGCAGCCGCCAGGGCCAGCUCAGCCCCCUGGGCCCACUGCACUCGAGUCCAGGGUCCGCGCAGCUGGCGGCUCACGCGGUUUCACUCCCCGGCUGAGGCCCCCGCCCGAGCUCCAGAGCGCUUGCCUGUCCUUGGUGGAGGAGGGUGGCAUCGAGCCGAGGCGGCCUCGCUGGCGGGGGGCGGGUAGGAUGGAGGGCCAGCCCUGCCCGGGAGGCCUCGAGAAGGAAAGCCACCCCCUCCCGCACACAGACCGCGAGUGGUGUGAACACACCGGCCGCGGACGAUGGGAGUUGCAUGUGCCGGGGCGCUAAGGGUUUUGGGGUAAUUUUGUUAGUGGGAUUGUGCCACCUGUGUCCACACGUGUUCUCAGUUUGGGACAGCGUGGCAUGAGACCCCUAAUUCAGGAUUCUUCCGUGGAGAAAACUCAGGAAGCACGUCACGCAGGUGUCCUGGUCACCCCUGAGGGGCCGGCACCUGUCCCCCAGGCCAUCCCUGCUGCCUUCCUGUGUCCCAGGCUCUCCGCGCUCAGAUGUUCUUUAAAACCUGCCACCAGGAAAUCCUCUUUAGCGAAGGGCAGGAGGCUGGCUGCCGCCAGGGCGCCUGGGGGGUGGACUGGGGGCCAGGCUCUGGCCUCUGACCUCAUGCCCCUGGGGGUUCCCUAGCAGCCUGGUCACGAGUGUCCUUGCUGUACCCCCUGCAUUCAGCCUGUGCACCCUCACUAGCUGUAGCAGAACCUUCUGGAACAAAAGAGUGGAAUUUUUUUUUUUUUUUUUUGGUGGCGCCCACGUCAUGCGAAAGUUCCAGGAAUCGAACCUGUGCCACGGCCAUAAACAGGCCACAGCAGGAACUCUGAUCUGAGGACUUUUUUCCCUUUCUUUUUAGGGCCAUACCUGUGGCAUAAGGAAGUUCCCAGGCUAGGGGUCCCCUCAGAGCUGCAGCUGCCGGCCUACACCACAGCCACAGCCACGCGGGAUCUGUGCAGUAUCUGCAGCUUAUGCGACUGCUUGUGGCACUGCCAGACCCUUAACCCAUUGAACAGGGCCAGGGAUCAAAUCCGCAUCCUCAAAGGCACUAGGUUGGGUUCUUAACCCGCUGAGCCACAACGGGAACUCCCAACCUGGGGACUUUUAAACAAACCGCUGCCCACCUGCCGUUCUGAGUUCAUGGUGCAGCCGGGGCUCCAGGAGGACGCUGAGCAGCAGGAGGACGGGGUCAGGGCUGCAGCCUGCUGGUGGACAGUGUGGAGGAUGGGCACGGCUGGACGGGCUCUGACGUCCAGCCAAGGGCACGGAGGGGCCGUAUUAGCCCGAGAAAAGCAGAGACCCCCUCGGCUAAGGGGACACCGGCCCAGUGGCGAUCCUUUGGCUGGUGCUUCUGCCGUCAGGGGCGGUCAGGCAGGAAGGGUCCUUCCGGAUGUCGGCGGGACGCGGGAACCGCCUUCGGGAACUCUCCCGGCAGGUCCUGAGGCUUAUGGUGUAGGCUUCACACACAAGGCCCCAGGUGCUGGGAGCCGGUUUUCCAAGCCGAUGUGUUCGGGCAGGGAGCCCACCGCGGAAGGUGUGAGUCACGCCCCCAGUCCCUGGGGGUGGUGCUGGAGCCUGGGAGGGUGGGGGCAGAUCCCUGAGUGGGAGGCCACCCCCCACCCCCGUCCCUCAGCCCUAAGGCAGCAUAGAGGCUCCAGCGGCUCAACGGCACCUGUCGCACUGGGUUGAAUAGUGUCCCCCCGACGUCCGUGUCUCCCUGGCGCUCCACAGAGAGCUUCUCUGGAAAUAGGGUCUUUUUCGAAGUACUUAGGUCCAGCCAAGACCACUACCUCAGUGUGCCUGCAGGUUACAGGUUCAGCUCCCCAACUCCCAGAACCUGUGCACUUGACACUUCAAAAUAGGUUUUUUGCGCACGUAAUCAAGUUGAGGCCAUUGGGUGGUCCCUGGGGUACCCUGAGAAGAGGACACCGGGGCCUUUGGAUGAGGUGAGAAGUGGGAGGUGAAGGCCCUUCAAGGGCCGUGGCUCUGAGAGGAAGAAUACACAAAUCAGUGAUUUUUUUUUUUUUUUUUUUUUUUUGGCUGCAGCUCGCAGCAUCCUGAUGUGGGGUCUCAGUUACCAGACCAGGGACUACACCUGGGCCGCAGCAGUGAAAACCCCAAACCCUAACUACCAGGCCACCAGGAAGCUCACACAUUUUCACUGCGCAAAAUGUUUUUCUAACGUUCCAUGCGUGGAGCCAUGUUCCCUGGGACCACAGAACGUUGGCACUGAAAGGUGCCUGAAAGACGGCGCAUCUCCGUCAGCAGAUGAGGAAGCCGAGGUCCGGGAAGGUCAAUGUCUCUCUCAAGGUCACAAAGCCAGGGUAGGAAAACCAGAGCGCGGACGAUCCACGAGGGUCGAUGGGCCCAGUGUUGGCCGUGGGCUGAAAGCUACCCUGAGAAGGACCUCACGUCCCUCACAAUGCCCUGCGUAGACCCAGCGUCCCCACGACAGUCCGGGAGAAUGUCCUUCUCUCACGAGGGAACACGCGGCCCUUUCUACUGCUGCAUCCCAGGCGAAGCAGGUGCCCUGUUUUUUAAUGGGCCAAGUUGUGUGGGGAAAAAAAAAAAAAAGGCACGAUAAGAAAUACCU